Ictidomys tridecemlineatus (thirteen-lined ground squirrel) is the source of this 3474-nucleotide non-coding RNA. The record is from RefSeq and is a predicted model, not a curated record. Lineage: Eukaryota; Metazoa; Chordata; Mammalia; Rodentia; Sciuridae.
CCUCCGUCUGCGCCGCUCUUCAGCCUCCAGUUUUCCUCCGCUCUCGGCCGGCCUCGCUUUUUCUUUGUCUGUCUGUCUGUCUCUCUUUUCUCUCCCCCUCUCUGUCCUCCAGCCAGACCCUGUCUCUGAUUAUCUCUGUGUUUCUUUGUCUCUGUCUCAUCUGUCCCCUCGGCUCUCCCUGCCUCUGUGCCUGUCUCCAGGACAAAGAAGGCCGCUGCCCUGGGGACCCCCAGCCCCUGCACUUGGCCGCCCCUCCCCCCAGGAGGGCCUGAGGAUGGGAGACGGGCAAGGUGGGGCCCCCAGACCCUGCCAGGGCCCUUCCUCUCACUCGUGUGGCUCCUCCCACCGUCAUGGGCGGGGACUGGAUUGUUCCUGAUCCCUCCUGGCACCUGGCGGUCUCUGAAGCUGUUCCCAGGAGCACCACCUUCCUACGGGGAGGAAGCAGGGAGGGGACCCCUGCACAGGUCGGGAAAGGAGGCCCAGGGGUGCAGCCACCUGCACAGGGUCCCAGGUCACAGGAUCAGAGGUCCCCUGACUCCCAGUCCCCUGGUAAUCCCCAUGGGAGGUGGCCAGCCUCCUGGGUGGGUUGGGGGUCCCUCCCUACCUGCAGUUAAAGUCCCUUACUCCAGGCACAGGGGCCCCUGCUGAGAAGGGACCCAGCAGCCCUUAGAGAAGUUCUUGCAAAGGACACACCCAGCUCUGGGGUCUUCCACCAGGACCCACCUCCACACCCCACCAAACCCCAGGGGACACCCCACCAUUACGUUCCAGAAGAUGAACCACAGCUGCAUUGGGCCCAGUCCCAGAAAGUGACCUUGUGCGUCUAGCCUGGAUUCCUCAGAUGUCCCCUGCCCUCAGACACAAGCCACUGGGCUUUGGUGGGGACAAGUAGCACAGACACCUAGGUGACACAUCACUGUGUGCUGGGCAGAGUCCUAAGGACCUUUUAAGUCACUGUCUUCACAGUCACUCUGGGAGGUUGUUAGUGCUAACUUCAUUUACAGCUGGGGAAACAGACGCACAGAGCGUUUAAGUAACUUGCCCAAGGUCACACAGCACAUAUGGUUGGUACAAAUAAAGCAGAUUUGGUUCCAAAUGCACACACAUUCACACACACACACAUAAGAGAGAGAGAGAGAGAGAUACAUUUAUGUAUGGAUCACAAUUGUUUUUAUGUCAUUCACGAUUUUAAGGCAAGGUUGAAUCUGUUGAAUACUGGACUGAUUCUCUUGGGCACUUCUGUCCCUGGAAGGUGUUGGGAUCUGACCCCUACAAUGAGGUGGGCAUCUGGUCAGUAGCCCUUCAUUGUUGGGAUUUGUGUUUUCCAUCUCUUGAUAGGAGGAUGACCGACCAGCAGCUGAGGGAAGACUCUCUCCUCUGCUGCCCCAGCCACAGAGUCCCCAAGGGCUCACUUGCCAGGCCCUUGAAGGAAAUGUCAGACCCUCAAAGAUUCAGGACAUGGAUCUGUCCCUGCACCCCACCCUGGCAACUCACCAAGGGAGGGGCGGGAAGUUUCACACCAGCACCGAGAUGUGUGUGUGACUCUUGGGAAGGAACAAAAUUAGCCGUAUUAUCUCAUUUAACCCCGACAGCGACCCUGAAAGGCAGGGACCCCCGAUUUCCUCCAGAGGAGGAGGCUCCAAGGGCCGGGGGCCUCCAAGCCCAGCAGGAAGGCCAUGAGGGCUUCCAGGCCAGGUCCUUCCAGGCCCCCAGCUGGUGCGUGGCCCCAUGUGGCUUCUCUGUCCUUUGCUCUCUGCUCCUGCCAUCGUCAGGGAAGUGACCAAAGGAGUCUUCCGUUUGCCCAUCUGUAAAACGGGGAGGACGUGGCCGGGCAGAGCUGGUGGGGGACGGUCCUCUCCUGUCCACCUCCCUGCCGUCCUCUGGGGCUGCUGGGUCCUUCCUGGCCCUCUCUGAGUCAAUAUUUAUAAAAAUUGUCCAGCGGCCACCUCAGCGUCUCGGGCCACCGUCUCUCCCUGGCUGAGCUGGCAGUCCCCCAGCCCUCCGUCUUGGGGACGGCUCUUGGGGUACCUUAGCUCGCCACCGCUGCGGAUGCCUCCCCGACUGCCGUCCCUUCGCAGAGCUCCCAGCGCCCGGCUGGUGGGGUGUCCUCUGGGGCCCCGCUGCCCUGCGCGGGCCGGGUGCCCCCUCCCGUGGAGCCACAGCCCCCAGCCAGGCCUGCUGCGGGUUAGAUAAGGCGCAGCGCGGCUCCGCCUGUUUUGUAAUCUCCUCCUGCGCCACGGCCUGCCCUGCGCCUCCCCUGUCCCCGUCAUCUUUAUGGCUUUGGAAUGAUCUGGACGGACACUGCAUUCAUUUAGCCAAGGGCACGCAGGUCGCAGGAGACAACUCCCUCCUGUGCGUGUGUUCAGGGGGCUGAUAAGGGGUGGCAGCCCCAUCCUAUCCCUGGCAGGGAAUGGGGACCAGGAGCCCCGCUGAAGGGAAGCUUGGGAACACAAGUGACAGUGAUGGGCAGAGAUCAGACCGAGUGUCAGAGACCUGGCUCUCCGGCAGCCAUGGCGGAGCCUCGGGGAUCAGGGGAAUCCUCUGAGGUCUGGAGGUCACGGUGCCGGAUAACGGGGCCGGAGGAGUCUGUGAACCUUCCUUCCUCCCCCGCAACCAUAAACCGUGAGUCUCAGAACGUGGGUUUAGCGGUCCCCGGGGUUGAAUCCUGGCUAUGGCAGGCUGUGUGAUGCUGGGAUAGUGGCUUUCCCUCUCUGAGCCUCCGUUUCCUCUGUAAAGUGAGGGCAGUAGUGAAGCGCUCUUCAUUCUGAAUGAUGGAGGUUAAAUGAACAAGGGCCCGUGGUGCGGGGUGAGGCUGGCCGCCCGCUGCCCGCUCUGAUUCGUUUAUUUAUUAGGAGCUGCUCGUACCAGGGGCCACAAAGAGCCCCCAGGCCCUGCUCCUGAAGGUGCUCCCUGAGGUGCAAUAGAGGGCCCAGGGCCUAGGAGGCGCUGGGUUGACCCCUGGACCUUGCUGCCCCGACAGGCCUGAGUCAGCGGUGUUGAGGUUCCCUGUAGGCCGCGAGGGAUCAUGUCCCCAACUUCGGGGAGCUGGAAUGAGGGAGGUGGAAGGUGGAAUUUCCAGGCCAGCAGAGAUGGGGCUGGUUGGAGGCUUGCUUGGGAGGUGGAGGCUGGGCCUCUGCCUUCCGAUUCCUCUUGUUUUGAAUGAAUCCUGAAACUGUCCUUUGAACAGAUCAUCUUGAAGUAGGUGCCAGAGGGGGAAUCAACAUUUAUGGAAGGCCCACUAUGUGCUGGACCCACGAGAAACGUAUUACCCGUGUCAUUUCAUCCAAUCUUCCCAACAGCUGAUGCCAAUCAGAGCCAGUGCUGGCGUUUCCCGUGACACUGACAUGUCUCCGAGAGGACAGAGAUGCUGGGAGCCGGGAGGGGGCUCUGAUGGGCACCGCGAGAACAGUGGCAAGAUCUGGGAACAGAAGGGAUUGAACCCAGGGGCAUUUGACACCUGAGCCACAUCCCAGC